UUUUUUUGCAAAAGUCGAAAAUUUUGAUACCGAAUCGUGAGAUUUAACCUUAUUUGUCGAUUGCAAUCAAAAUAUAAAGUAUGUUGCUGAAUUGUAUUGUUUUCGUUCGAAUAUCAUAUGGAUAUUUGAAACAGCGUAAAUCUACUCCGUACUAUUCUAAUGCAAAACCAAAAAUGAAACAGCAAUCACAAUUAUUCUACAGGUGACUCGAAUGUGAAAUAACCGUGAACAUAAUAUACACUGUAAUUACA
Long non-coding RNA from Anopheles arabiensis, 251 nucleotides. RefSeq lists it as uncharacterized. Lineage: Eukaryota; Metazoa; Arthropoda; Insecta; Diptera; Culicidae. The transcript is spliced from 3 exons. The record is from RefSeq and is a predicted model, not a curated record.